GCAUAGUUAGUUCAAUGGUAGAACAGUCGUCUUCUAAGCAAUGAAUACAAGUUCGAUUCUUGUACUAUGCU
Molecule: transfer RNA, 71 nt
Filed under: Rickettsiales bacterium
Lineage: Bacteria; Pseudomonadati; Pseudomonadota; Alphaproteobacteria; Rickettsiales
Description: tRNA-Arg
Rfam family: tRNA
About the family: Transfer RNA (tRNA) molecules are approximately 80 nucleotides in length. Their secondary structure includes four short double-helical elements and three loops (D, anti-codon, and T loops).
Source: RNAcentral